GUGGAUUAGAUACCCUGGUAGUCCACGCCGUAAACGAUGUUCACUCGCUGUUUGCGAUACACAGCAAGCGGCCAAGCGAAAGCAUUAAGUGAACCACCUGGGGAGUACGAUCGCAAGGUUGAAACUCAAAGGAAUUGACGGGGGCCCGCACAAGCGGAGGAACAUGUGGUUUAAUUCGAUGAUACGCGAGGAACCUUACCUGGGCUUAAAUGUAGAACGACAGAUUGUGAAAGCAGUCCUUCUUCGGACGUUUUACAAGGUGCUGCAUGGCUGUCGACAACU
This 282-nucleotide ribosomal RNA is filed under the name uncultured bacterium. RNAcentral's name for it is "partial 16S ribosomal RNA". It matches the Rfam family "Bacterial small subunit ribosomal RNA", at positions 773 to 1060 of the family's 1533-position model. The record is from RNAcentral.